UUGGAGGGCAAGUCUGGUGCCAGCAGCCGCGGUAAUUCCAGCUCCAAUAGCGUAUAUUAAAGUUGUUGCAGUUAAAAAGCUCGUAGUUGAAUUUCGGGGUUCUACCGUUGGUCGGGCAAUAGUCUGUACUGGCGUGUGGAAUUUCUACCUUCUGGGGAACCAUCAUGUUAUUAAUUUAGCGUGGUGGGAAACCAGGACCUUUACCUUGAAAAAAUUAGAGUGUUCAAAGCAGGCUUACGUCUGAAUACAUUAGCAUGGAAUAAUAAAAUAGGACGGUGGUCCUGUUUUGUUGGUUUCUGAAUCACCGUAAUGAUUAAUAGGGAUAGUUGGG
This 331-nucleotide unclassified non-coding RNA is filed under the name uncultured Gigasporaceae. Its description in RNAcentral is "SSU rRNA". It matches the Rfam family "Eukaryotic small subunit ribosomal RNA", at positions 548 to 886 of the family's 1831-position model. Lineage: Eukaryota; Fungi; Glomeromycota; Glomeromycetes; Diversisporales; Gigasporaceae. The record is from RNAcentral.